This 485-nucleotide ribosomal RNA is filed under the name uncultured bacterium. RNAcentral's name for it is "partial 16S ribosomal RNA". It matches the Rfam family "Bacterial small subunit ribosomal RNA", at positions 28 to 507 of the family's 1533-position model. The record is from RNAcentral.
GAUGAACGCUGGCGGCGUGCUUAACACAUGCAAGUCGAACGGGAUCCAAGGGGUGCUUGCACUCUUUGGUGAGAGUGGCGAACGGGUGAGUAACACGUGAGUAACCUGUCCUUUUCUUUGGGAUAAGCAUUCGAAAGGGUGUUUAAUACCUUAUGUUCUGUCUGCCUCGCAUGGGGUGGGUGGGAAAGGCUUUGGCCGGAUUUGGGUGGGAUCGCGGUCUAUCAGCUUGUUGGGGUGGUGAUGGCUUACCUAGGCUUUGGCGGGUAGACGGCCAGAGAGGGUGCUCGGACAGAGUGGGGGUGCGGUACCGUACGGGCGGCAGCAGUAGGGAGCAGUGGGGAAUGUUGGACAGUGGGAGAGAGCCUGGUGGAGCGACGCAGGAUGGGGGAUGGAGGGUUUAGGGUUGUAAACUUCGUUUGAUCUGAGCAAGGCAUGCCAGUGAGUGUGUUGAGUGAAGGGGUUAAUUAGCCCCGGCUAACUACGUG